GGAUCAUGUGUUCUGAUUGGAGCGCGUUCCAUCGUGUUUCUCAUCAUUUGGAAUGUUGGAUAUGCCACAUUAAUUAAUGAGGCGUGAUCCAACGCUCCUGGUUUUUUCUGAUUUUAAUUCUUUUUCUUUUAUUAUUUUAAAUUUCUUUUUCUUUAAAAAUUCGUAGUAAUUUCAUUUUUUAUCCAAAAAUUUCCAAAAUAAUUUCUAAAAUUCUAUUUUAUUAUUUUUCAUCUGAUUUUUAUUUUUC
RNAcentral lists this long non-coding RNA (247 nucleotides) under Lathyrus oleraceus (garden pea). RNAcentral's name for it is "Pisum sativum (pea) long non-coding RNA (PSAT_LNC001425)". Lineage: Eukaryota; Viridiplantae; Streptophyta; Magnoliopsida; Fabales; Fabaceae. The record is from RNAcentral.